AGAGGACAACAUCGUAAUGUUUUUAGAGAAGCAAGCAGACAAAGAGGAUAUAUUCUUUCCCUACAACUUCAAUUUCCAUUUUAUUCUCCUAAUCAUUGAUCUUCACCUUGGAGUCGUAAACGUCAUGGACUCGAAACGUACAGAAUAUGCGGAAUGGGCGGACAUGGCUGCCAUCCUCCAGAGGGCUUGGAAACGGUUCAUCAAUACUGUUCCGGGUGAAUGGAAACCGGAGCUUACAUUUAGAGAUUACCCU
Non-coding RNA from Lolium perenne, 253 nucleotides. Lineage: Eukaryota; Viridiplantae; Streptophyta; Magnoliopsida; Poales; Poaceae. The record is from RefSeq and is a predicted model, not a curated record.